Molecule: long non-coding RNA, 2002 nt
Organism: Malania oleifera
Lineage: Eukaryota; Viridiplantae; Streptophyta; Magnoliopsida; Santalales; Ximeniaceae
Exons: 10
Source: RefSeq, a predicted model, not a curated record
AAAUUUUCGGGAACCAUUACCUAUGGUAUCUGUUCAAAACCAUGACUGGGGAAAACAACAGGUACCAAUUGGGAGAGGUGCUCCACUUCGACUCUACACACUUCAAGCUGAAGGAGAUUCCAUCAGGGAUGUAGAUCUGGCCCGAAUUCAGCCCGAAUCGCUGAACAGAAGCCGCUACGAUGUUCUAGGGAGGAUUCUUUACACAUUUAGCGAAUCAGUUUCUUAAACUGGGCUUUUUGGGGAAUGCUCCUAAGUUAAGGUCCAAGUGAACGUCGUGGGUAUCGGUUCAGGGAUCCUAUAGGCGUAGUUCAGAAGUCAGGACAUCCUCGAGGUCGGGCUUAGAGAGCUUAAGGGUUCAUAGCAUUUUAAGGAUUAUAAAGAGAAAAGACAUGGGCUAGGAGAUCACCGAGGCCGACUUCAGUUCAGACUUUCUACUACAUCGUCGCCGGCGGAUGUUCCGACAUCCUUGGGACUGGCGGAGGAUGUUGGUCCUCAUGUGCACCAUCACCAUCUGAGCCCUUCGGACCUUAGACAAACAUGGAUCCAUCACCUAGGGAUCAAACCCGGGGUGAGUUGCACACCAUAGUGAGCAACGUCGCAUCGACCUCUAUAGUACAGACAAUGAGGUCAGGUCAUGGUGUAGAAAACAACGUCGAGUUACAAAAACACCUAUACAGGACUGGGAAGCGGAUACAGAUCGACAUUCCUCCAUGCUUCAUGGCCCUGUGUGGUAGAAUUUGGUACAAAGCUUGGACUUGGGAGCUCGGCAUUAUAUGCCAACAAUAUGCUCCACUCACUAUAUUCAGUUGGCCGCAAGUGACAGAGGCUCAUCGCGUGGUCCUGUAUAGAUGCAUAUUGGAGGAAUUUGAUAUGGACAUUCUCCAUGUCGACCAUGUAAAAAGGGUGGUUUACAUACAGCUCUGCAGCAAAUUUAAGACCUAUCGCGCGAAAAUGCGCGAACAUUUUAGGACAAUGGGUGAUCAGGGAGAAGCGCACCCAUACGAUAAGAUAUCCCAAGAGGUUUGGGAGGUGGAGUGUGUCCAUUUCCGCGACCCACACUAUCAGGUGAUGUGUUUGUAUUAUUAUAACUACCUUUUCAUAUUGAUGUGGCUAAUAAAGAGUCAUUACAUAUUUUUUGUAGAGUAUAUGUGAAAAAAAUGAUGAGAACCGCAACGAACUCCCUAUGAUGCAUUGUGGUGGGUUGAGGUUUUUCAUCAAUCAUUGAAUGCGUGAUCUUGUGACCGACGUAGAGGAGCCAAUUCUAGAUAUUUAUAAGAGAAGACACCAAAGGCGAUCGAGGGAGUGGUGCCAGGGUGCGCAGGGCAUACAUAUGCUCAAGCUGAGGGAUGCACCGGUACCUUUCCAAAAGGGAGUCAACCAUUGACGGAUUACGAGAUCUCCACUUAGGUGCUUGGGGAACGAGCGGGGGGCUGGGUUAAAGGUCUUGGGAGUGGAUACAUCACCCCAACAACAUCAUCUUCUACGAGUGUGGCAUCUUGUGCUAAGUUUGAAUGAGCGCGUCGAGAUGCUGAGUAUCGAGCGAAUCAGAUGGUUCACCGUAUACAGAUGAUAGAAAUGGAGAAUCAGCAAUUGAAAGAUACGGUUUCUAGCGAUGGCCUAGAGAACCAACAACUAAAAGAGAAGGUGUUUAACUUUGAAGCCAAGCUGGAGUUCCUUAUGAACAGGCAAGCGCAGCUCAAACAAGUGAUGCACCAAUCUUGUCCGGAUGAUGUAGGUGGCUCCUCCUCUCAUUAGAAGGUUGCUAUAUGUAUAAGAUGGUCGCUCAUCGCCCUGCAUUUAAAGCUUUUGUAACUUCUCUUGAUUGUUUAAUUUUUUAGUUAACUCCUUCGAUUUGAAACUAUAUAAUUCGAGUGUUGUCCUGUGUCUCGAGAAUUUUCUUAAUGACAUGCUACAAUUGAAUUUUUUUUUUUUUUUUUGUAUUUUUUUAUCCAAACAGAUGGAAUUUCUAUAUUUGAAUUUAAAUUUGUAUAAUGUAUUUAAA